Molecule: ribosomal RNA, 219 nt
Filed under: Klebsiella pneumoniae
Lineage: Bacteria; Pseudomonadati; Pseudomonadota; Gammaproteobacteria; Enterobacterales; Enterobacteriaceae
Description: partial 16S ribosomal RNA
Rfam family: Bacterial small subunit ribosomal RNA
Source: RNAcentral
AAGUCGGAAUCGCUAGUAAUCGUAGAUCAGAAUGCUACGGUGAAUACGUUCCCGGGCCUUGUACACACCGCCCGUCACACCAUGGGAGUGGGUUGCAAAAGAAGUAGGUAGCUUAACCUUCGGGAGGGCGCUUACCACUUUGUGAUUCAUGACUGGGUGAAGUCGUAACAAGGUAACCGUAGGGAACCUGCGGUUGGAUCACCUCCUUACCUUAAAGAA